AAAAGAGAAGCAUAAUGGUUAUGUGAUUGACUUGAAAUCGAGAUGUGGUGGUUCGAUUCCACCUUCUUUUG
RNAcentral lists this transfer RNA (71 nucleotides) under Dibamus novaeguineae. RNAcentral's name for it is "tRNA-Ser". It matches the Rfam family "tRNA". From Rfam's summary of the family: Transfer RNA (tRNA) molecules are approximately 80 nucleotides in length. Lineage: Eukaryota; Metazoa; Chordata; Lepidosauria; Squamata; Dibamidae. The record is from RNAcentral.